This is a long non-coding RNA of Physeter macrocephalus (sperm whale), 4089 nucleotides long. RefSeq lists it as uncharacterized. NCBI's taxonomy places the organism in Eukaryota, Metazoa, Chordata, Mammalia, Artiodactyla, Physeteridae. The transcript has 3 exons. The record is from RefSeq and is a predicted model, not a curated record.
UGGGCUCACCAGGACAACGUCAUCCCCAGAUGGGACCUGGGAGACAGCGGCAGGCUCCAUCCAGGAGUGACGCACUUGCCAACAAACAAGCCACCCAGCCCCUGGCCCCUCUGUGGCUUUCUUAGGGACAGGCUCGAUGACCGAGGAUUACUCUCCCAGAGGAAAUCACCACUUCAAGGGCUCACAGACUCCGGGCCUAAAUCCUCCCGCUUCUUCAGAUCCCUGCGCUAAGCCCCAGCCCUCAGAGGAGGCUGUCCGACUUCGCUGAGUAUGUCAGACCUGCCUCUCAUAGCAUCUCUUGGCAACCUUCCUCACACUGAUGCUGCCAGGAUGUAAAAAGAAUACUGCUGCCCAAUCCCUACCUUCACAGAGCUCCAACUACCAGCCCAUCAGUGUAGACCACUGGGAAACCCCAAGGCUUUGGAAACAGACAGACCUGGGUUUGCAGCCUGGUACUACCGUGUGACAAGAAAACCUCUAAGGACUCAGUUUUUCCUCCCUAAAUACAGGGAGAAAAGCACAUGGAGAGCCUGGGACUGAGCUAUGGGGAAUACCCUUUAGAGGUAAACCAUCAAAGACCACCAAAAAGGAGUGGCCAGGACAGAAACCAGGAGGGGAGGUGUCAUCGAAGCCAAGAAGGAAGUGCUUCAACUACAAAACUCGAUAAGGGAAGGAUAAGCUAUGUCAAAUACUGCUGAGAGGCUGAGAACGAUGAAGAGAGAGACAUGACCUUUGGCUUUGCAAGAUGGAGGUCACUAGAGACCUUGGCAAGAACAUCUAAGUGGAGCAUGUGAACCAGGUCUGCGUGGACAGCAAGAAGGAGAGAAGACAUGGAGAUAUUCCUUUGGAAAGAUGGUUCUGUGAGGAGGAGGACAGCUGGUAGAUGCUCCAUCUGAAAAAAUGGAAGGAUGUGCACCAAGGCUCAGCUCCACCUCUCCCAGAUGGAAUCAGUGGAGACAUUUUAAACUUUGAUGACCUUGCUGCACUGCUCCAAGGUUGUGGUGAGACUCUGAGAAGGAGUUAGAAAAGACAGAGAUAACAAUGGACACGGUGAAGAGGGAGAGCGAUCCGAAGAGAGAAUGGACAUCCAUGUAGGGUAAAUGGACUAAGCAAUGCAUCACGAGGAAGAGUGAAGAAAUGCCUGGCAUCAUCUUCUAGAUUCUGUACAUGUAUGUGAAUGUCUAAGAGUUUUCCAUCUGGUAAUAUGGACUGUUACCUGCACACCUACCCGGAGUUUAUGGCCCUGAUUCAGGGGAUCUGUACAUACCCUGAGAAGAUACAUACAUGCUCACAGCCAUGCACAUACACACAUGAGCGUGCACACUCAAACACACAUGCACAAUCAGAAGCAGAAUCUGUGUUCCACUAACACGCCUUGGGCAUGUCUCCCUGAAACCUUGUCUUCUCCAUUUUUCCUGCCAGGAGGCCUGCUCAGUGAACUCCUUGCUACAGGGGCCAGGGUAAUGUAAAUGUGUGAUGUGGGUUGAGCAUAUGAUGUUAAAUGGCAACAGGCACUGGUCUUCUGUGUCAGGGAGACACAGAGUGAUGAGGGCUGCCUGAACUGGAGCAGCUUGUUGCCCAUCCUGAGAGAGUAGCCGCCACCCAGCUGCAUUUGUUGCCUAUUGGUUUCCUAUGGAGGCUGUAAGAAAUUGCUACAAACUUAAUAGCUUAAAACAACGCAAAUUUAUUAUCUCACAGUUCUGGAGAUCAGAAGUCCAAAAUAGGCCUUAUAGGGAUUGCAGUAUUAUGAUUUAAAAGAAAAAAAUAUAUAUGGUUACUCAGAUGACCAAAAUAUAUUUCUUGUAUAUUAUUUGGUCUUUGUCCACUCCUCCCGGCUCACAGUUCCCAAAACCCUGAGAAUUCCCUAAGUGCUGAGAGUGAUCAAGGUGUCUUUUGUUAUGUUAAUGAGGUGACUUUUGGACCCACCUAAGGAGGGGGGCUGCUUGCCAGUGGAGCCAACUGAGUGAUUAGAGGGUUAGAAAUUUCAGUCCCACCACCCGCUUCUGACCUCCUGGGAGGGGCGGGCAGCUGGAGAUUGAGUUCAAUUACCAAUAGUCAAUGAUUUAAUCAGUCGUGCUUAUGUAAUGAAGCCUCCAUCCAAACUCAAAAGGAUGGGGUUUGGAGACCUUCCAGGAUGGCGAACACAUGGAGGUGCUCGGAGAGUGGCGCUUCUGGCGCUAUGGAAGCUCAUGCCCUUUCCCCGUACCUUGCCCUCUGCAUCUCUUCCAUCUGGCUGCUCCUGGCUUAUAUCCUUUUAUACUAAACAAGUGAUCUAGUAGGUAGAAUGUUUCUCUGAACUCUGUGAGCCUCUCUAGCAAAUUAAUUGAACCCAAGGAAGAAGUAAUGGUAACCUCUAAUUUACAGCCGGUCAGUCAGAAAGACAGGUAAAAACCUGGACUUGUGAUUGGUAUCCUGAGUUGGAGGGGGCUGUUGGAACUUCCAGUUUGUAGCUGGUGGGUCAGAAGCACAGGCAACAACCUGGGCUAGUGACUGGCAUCUGAAGUGGGGAGUGGGUGACAGUCUUGUAGGACCAAACCCUUAAUCGGGGAAUCUGAUGCUACCUCCAGGCAGAAAGUGCCAGAAUUGAGUUGUUGUAUUCUUGAACACCCUGCUGGUGUCUGAGAAUUGCUUGGUGGUGUGUGGGGAAGCCCCCUGCCUCGCACACUGGAAUUGGAAACCUGUUUAGGGAUAAACUCAAGGUGUUGGCAUGGCUGUCUUCCUUCUAAAGACUCUAGAGGAGAAUAUGUUCCUUGCCUUUUCCAUCUUCUGGAGGCUGCCCACAUUCCUUACCAUGGCCUCCUUUCACCUUGAAAGCCAUCACUCUGACCUCUGCUUUUGACCUCUCCUUCCCUGACUCUGACUCUCCUGCCUCCCUCUUCCGUUUAUAAGGACCCUUGUGAUUACAUUGGGCCCACCCAGAAAAUCCAGAAUAAUCUCCCAUCUCAAGACCUUUACCCUAAUCACAUCCACAGAGUCUUUUGCCAUGUAAGGUAACAUAGUCACAGAUUCCAGGGAUUAGGAUGUGGACAUCUUGGUGGGGAGCUAUGCUGCCUAUCACAAUUGCUAAAUGGGCAUGCAGGCCCAGAAUAGCCAUAUCUUCCAAUUCUUUUCAAGGUAAGCUAGAAAUCUGGAUUUUUACAUGAUCGUGCAGAAAAGAGUUGACAUAGCAGAACUGAGACUUAGAAAGCCUGCUCGCAAGGUUGGCCCUUGGCUGGCAUCUGGGAACUUGGCUCUUAGAGUGCGCCCAGUCAACAGCUAACUGAUAAGGAUGGUUCGUUGUGCCUAGAUGGUGUGUGUAAACGAUAUGAUUUAUGCUGAACACCUGCUUUUCUUCUAAAGAGUCUGGAAUUUUGGUAAGUGCAAGGCAGAGGUGCCUAUGUGACCAGCCCCCACUAAAAACCUUGGGUGCUGAGUCUCUAACGGGCUUUCUUGGGCAGAAACACUGCAGGGAAAUGUCCCAUUUUCAUUUUGGAGGAAGAGUACACUGUGUGAGCCCUUAUGGGAGGGAGAGGGCAUAGAUACCUUCAGACUCUGCUUGUGUCUUUUCCCCUUAUUAUCCAGUUGUGUAUUGUUCCUACAUCACUGUAAUAAACCUUAGCUGGGAGUACAAGUUUAUGCUGAGUCCUGUGAGUCUGUCUGGCAAGUCUCCUAACAUAGGGGUGGUCUUUGGGGAUGCCCCAAAGACAAUUCCUGAUUUUUUUCAUAUUCUAAACGCUAUGGGGGUUAACACUGUGGGGGAAUUUGGCCUCCAGGCUGCUAAUUUGAAACUUCUGACUUCUUAGAGUUUCACCUUAAUUUUAGUCCCAUCUCUGUAGUGAAAAAAUUCACCUGACACACACGUAGCAAAUCUUUACCACAUGCUAAGCGCCAUACUAAGAGCUACGGACACAGAAGUGAAUAAGACACAAUCCUUACCUUCAACAAGGUCGCUAUCUAAUAAGAUGGACAUGUACAAGAAUAACUGCAGCGUGAGGUGCUACACACACUAAAAUAAGUGAAUAAAGUGCUCUAAGAGUCCAGACAACUGCAUACACGGUGCUUUGCUGUGUAUGUACACAUCCCUCAGUUCAUCCGGUCCUCACGAUCCGA